Molecule: ribosomal RNA, 617 nt
Filed under: uncultured bacterium
Lineage: Bacteria
Description: bacterial SSU rRNA
Rfam family: Bacterial small subunit ribosomal RNA
Source: RNAcentral
CCUACGGGAGGCAGCAGUGGGGAAUUUUGGACAAUGGGCGCAAGCCUGAUCCAGCAAUGCCGCGUGAGUGAAGAAGGCCUUCGGGUUGUAAAGCUCUUUUGUCAGGGAAGAAACGGCAGUUUCUAAUACAGAUUGCUAAUGACGGUACCUGAAGAAUAAGCACCGGCUAACUACGUGCCAGCAGCCGCGGUAAUACGUAGGGUGCAAGCGUUAAUCGGAAUUACUGGGCGUAAAGCGUGCGCAGGCGGUUUUGUAAGUUUGUCGUGAAAUCCCCGGGCUCAACCUGGGAAUGGCGAUGAAGACUGCAAGGCUAGAAUCUGGCAGAGGGGGGUAGAAUUCCACGUGUAGCAGUGAAAUGCGUAGAGAUGUGGAGGAACACCGAUGGCGAAGGCAGCCCCCUGGGUCAAGAUUGACGCUCAUGCACGAAAGCGUGGGGAGCAAACAGGAUUAGAUACCCUGGUAGUCCACGCCCUAAACGAUGUCUACUAGUUGUCGGGUUUUAAUUAACUUGGUAACGCAGCUAACGCGUGAAGUAGACCGCCUGGGGAGUACGGUCGCAAGNUUAAAACNCAAAGGAUUGACGGNNGAGAGNGCGACGACGACGACGAGGGAGGAGG